RNAcentral lists this ribosomal RNA (161 nucleotides) under uncultured bacterium. Its description in RNAcentral is "partial 16S ribosomal RNA". It matches the Rfam family "Bacterial small subunit ribosomal RNA", at positions 355 to 508 of the family's 1533-position model. The record is from RNAcentral.
UGGGGAAUUUUGGACAAUGGGCGCAAGCCUGAUCCAGCAAUGCCGCGUGAGUGAAGAAGGCCUUCGGGUUGUAAACUGCUCUUGUACGGAACGAAACGGCCUUUUCUAAUAAAGAGGGCUAAUGACGGUACCGUAAGAAUAAGCACCGGCUAACUUCGUGC